GAGAACCUAGUAAACACAUUACAUGGCCUUGUCGCGGCUAAGUCACAACCUUUGUGGUCCUCA
RNAcentral lists this transfer RNA (63 nucleotides) under Ptyas korros. Its description in RNAcentral is "tRNA-Asp". Lineage: Eukaryota; Metazoa; Chordata; Lepidosauria; Squamata; Colubridae. The record is from RNAcentral.